UACAUAUGGUGCAAGCGUUGUCCGGAAUGACUGGGCGUAAAGGGUGCGUAGGUUGGCGAACAAGUCAGGUGUGAAAUCCCAGGGCUUAACCUUGGAAUUGCGCUUGAAACUGUUUGUCUAGAGCAUGUGAGGGGUUAGUGGAAUUCCCGGAGUAGCGGUGAAAUGCGUAGAGAUCGGGAAGAACACCGGUGGCGAAGGCGGCUAACUGGCACAUUGCUGACACUGAGGCACGAAAGCGUGGGGAGCGAACAGGAUUAGAUACCCUGGUAGUCCACGCUGUAAACGAUGUAUACUAGAUGUCAGAAUCGAUCAAAAGAAUUUGGUGUCGAAGCUAACGCGAUAAGUAUACCGCCUGGGGAGUACGGUCGCAAGAUUAAA
RNAcentral lists this ribosomal RNA (378 nucleotides) under uncultured bacterium. RNAcentral describes it as "bacterial SSU rRNA". It matches the Rfam family "Bacterial small subunit ribosomal RNA", at positions 524 to 898 of the family's 1533-position model. The record is from RNAcentral.